UCCCCAUGAACUUGUUUUUAAGGACAAAACUUAAACCAUGGUGGAUGAACCACGACCAUGCGAUCGGAGCGUGAUUGACGGCUACAUCUCUCUUAUAGUUUCAAGGUUGUAGAAGAUCGUUACUCUGUUGGUUCUCUUCCAUGAUGGGGUGGUAUCUUUGCGGUCUAACAGGUU
Molecule: small nucleolar RNA, 174 nt
Filed under: Brassica oleracea var. oleracea
Lineage: Eukaryota; Viridiplantae; Streptophyta; Magnoliopsida; Brassicales; Brassicaceae
Description: snoRNA Plant_U3
Source: RNAcentral